ACUGAACUUCAGCUAUGCAUCUCUCCCCUGAAGAAUUUAAAUGUGGAUCUUUGGGUUGCGAAAGCUGAGCAUGAGAAGUUGCUGUGAAAUCAACAAUUCAGAAAUGCCAGUAAGUGGAUUUGGGAUGUCAACAGUGUGUUAUAACAGCAACACACUCUUGAUAAUAAACCACAGGUGAGGAACAAACUUGCUUUCUCCUUUGGAAAAAAAAAAAAAAAAAGUAAGAUAAACGCACACACACAAAAAACCCCAACCUUACAUUCUUAAGCAAUAUAGAAUUAUAUUGAUGUAUCUCUUAUCUUUAACCAAAAGUAGCAUCUUGAAAAUUUUAAUGGGCUAAUUAUACACUGAUGGUCAUCUAGAAAUGUGGUUAUUUUCAGGUCUUUAUGUCCUGACAAUUUUAGGAGUUAUCAACUGGAAAAUUGGCAUGCAAACACAGAAUUUC
Molecule: long non-coding RNA, 445 nt
Filed under: Phasianus colchicus (ring-necked pheasant)
Lineage: Eukaryota; Metazoa; Chordata; Aves; Galliformes; Phasianidae
Description: lncRNA (ENSPCLG00000005566.1)
Source: RNAcentral